This 6704-nucleotide long non-coding RNA is filed under the name Xyrichtys novacula (pearly razorfish). The record is from RNAcentral. Lineage: Eukaryota; Metazoa; Chordata; Actinopteri; Labriformes; Labridae.
UUGAGCUUCAAGUUUGGGUGGCAAAUUUCUAUCAGUUCAGUAUAUCAAAGAUUUCCAUGGCAACCAGUUGGAAAGUCCUCCUCCUUCUUAACUGUACUUGACAUAUCUGCGCAGGUUGGUGGUAAUGAUGGGCGGAAAGGUCAAGUACAAGAGGUUCGGGGUUGAUAAGGCCAUUCUGCAAACACUCUUAUCAACUUCUUUGUCUGUCAAGUAUCUGGACCAAAAUGACCCUCAAACUAGGAAUACGAGACCAUGCUGUAGCAAAAACAUCAUUUUUUUUCUUUGUCAAUCUCCAAAUGGGAUGGGAAAUAAUUGAUGUGUUUUUUCUGCACAAAUACCAAAGGGUCAAUUUUUGAAAAACAUGACUCUCCAGUCUCUAAUUUGAGACUUUCUACUAUAAUCGUACUCAACCUAACUUAAGCAAAAAUGGGUUUAUGUGAUAAAAUUUCCAAACUAUUGUCAUUUUGUAAAACUUGCCACUUUGUUACAUGCCUGGACUUCGCCUAAACAAGCAUUAAUUCACAGUGUUUACCUCUGUUCAGUUUCCUGUAUGCCUGCCUCUGCUGUGUCUGACACAUACACGUGUCGUUUUACGGAACAGACGUCUGCUGUUUCAAGAUCACUAACGCUUGACUCUUCUGUCCUCUACGAUGGAGUCUUGUUGGUGAAACGAUAGGUGAGCUUUUCUUUAUUCAGAGCGCCUCUGAUCUCACCUGCUGUCACACACUCGACAAGGAAGCUGAGCAGGGAACUGCACUGCAGCCCGCAUAAAUUUGAUGGCGUGGCUCGCUGCCAGAAUUUAAUGACACCUCCGCUCUUUAAACUCUCAACAGCUGGUCCCAAAUGUUUAGAUCUUUUACCUCCAUCUGACUGUUAAAGAGGCCAGAGGAGGCGAAGAGGUGGUGAGGUGUGACAGAUUUAAAACAUAGUCAGAUCUUUUACCGGUGAGUCGACUAUCUCAGCAGGAUAUGUCCAUGUAAAACACCAGAUGACACUCAAACAAGGUGGAUUCAAAGAUGGUAAUUAUGGUCAGCCAUCAUUUUUGUACAGAAAUAAAAUCCACAAGCAGCGACAGAACAAAUUACCACAGUUUUGUACAAGGUUUCCUACUGCAAAAAAGACUAGCAAAUUCAUACAAACCAAACCACAAUUACAAGGUUUGAUUUCUCAAUUUAGAAACUAUGGAUUGGGAUGAAAUUUGGUGCAGCCAUCCAUUAUUCCUCCACAAUCAGUCUUAACGCCGUGGGUUAUCCCUCCAUUCUCCUCUAAUUAGUAGGUUGGCAGUUUAAAUGAAACAUUUUCGAUAAACAUUGAAUGCUUUGGUCAGCAAUUAGGCUCUACGCAGGGAUAACCAACCUUCACCUUUUCCUUCUGUGAGAUCAAAACACUGAAUGUCCCAUUCAGCCUUGGUUGUAAUUUUAAUUUUGAGGGAUUGAUGAUCGCACGCCAACUUGCAAGAAUAACACAGUGAAGAACAAAUUUCCGUUAUCCUUCUAUUUUUAGUGAAAAAUCGUCAUGCUGUCAAAAGGUUUCAAAAGUCUUUAAAUUUUCAAGUUUCUUUUUGCUUUAUUUUGACUUUUUUCCCUCAAAUCUAUCUUAGUUUUGAUUUUUUUUUUCAUAGUGUUAUGUUUCUUUGAUUUUAAUUGUUUUAAAAUGUUUUAGUUUUGCUAUUAUCAGUUUAAGUUGUGGUUUUAUUUUUUUGUACUAUAGGAUACUUGUUAGGAGAUGCAAAAAGGACUAAAUAAAUAUUUUAUGUUAAAACAAACAAACAAAAAGAAACAUCAUACCAUUUAGAAAAAUAUGUAUUCGUAUAUGAUUAACAAACACAGCCAUCCAAAGCAGACAAAGUGUCACAGUUUUAGUGUUUGGGCUCGUAUGCCUUAUAUAUACAUACCCUCUACAUCAUACUGCACUGGCUGGGCCACCACAGUUUAAAAGCCUGGAUACGCCCCUGCUCAUCGGCCUAUACUCCUUUAAAAGUCCAUCAUGUUCGCUUGUCCAGAAGCAGAUGGAUCCGUGACUCUGCUGAUGUGAUAAAAGAGGGAACAGUAAAAGUUAGGGACUCAACUUUCAACCACAACAAAUAUAAACGAUCUUGAUUUUGAAGAGCAGCUCGAGUCAUAGGCAAUCUGAAUAUCCUGAGUAAGUCAGCGGGCGAACAAAAGAUGUCUAUUAAUUUAAUGUUUGAGUAAAAGAAGACUUUUUAAAAGAGUUAAAAGUUCCUUCAUUAAAAGGUCAGCCAUGUUUAACUCCUGGGAUGAGUGACGGUCAGGGUUUGAAUGUCAGUAAUUCUCCUGUCUUCUAAAGUGUUUUGACCAUACAAAGUAGUUUUAGUCGUAAAGUCUUUUGUUUUAUUCCGACAGGUAACCAAACAAAAUUAGAUUUAUUUUUUAUCUUCCUUUUGAAGCUGAAGUGGUCUCCUUAGAAAAAAGUGUUUACCUAACUAAGUUUCCAUGUCACUUCAUAUAAAAAGUUUGCUCUGGGAGAGCAUCAGACAAGCCCUGAGGGCAGUCAGCCAGGGGCAAAUGAGGGAGUGUCUCGAUGCCUGCGGUACCAAUUGAGCCGGCAUCACUUUCCGAUCGAAUGACUUUCAAGACAGCCUUUUGUGGCAGCUUCCUAAUGUCGAUGAGACUACGGAGCUGCCCGUCAAAAUCAUAGUGGAGAGACAAAUCAAAAGUCACGUCUUGGCCUGAGCUUGUCUCUCAUUAGAGUGGAUAGCAUCAACCGCUGACUGAGCUGUCAGACUCAUAUCCAAAGCUGCAGUAUGUCUUCUACUAUUUGCCCUGAGAGCAUGAAUGUCAGUGGUACACCUAUCAUCUGAGACGAGAGAUAACCAGGGAGAUUUUUAAUAAGAGGCGGGCCAUGACCUUUGGGAGGACCACAUGGGGAUGACUUUUUUUCUCCUUUUUUUUUUUUGGCCUUUUUCUCACAAAACAUUUGGUGAUGUGCUAAUCAAACUUUCCACUGAUGGUUUCUUGUGCAUGUGUAGCAAAACAUCUUAUCUGUGGUUCUAAAGUUUGACAAAAGGGCGUCCGUGUUGAGUUUUCCCUUUAAUAGAUUGGGUGUCCACUUAAAACAACAAAAAGUUUCUUCAUACCAUGAACUAAAACUAACAAAAAAGUAAGCAUUUUUAAUCUACUGCAGAAUUUAAAUGUGUAUUUUGCUUCUUACAUUAGCCUUGAGAUAUAAAGUAUUUAACUAUCUGAUAUUAAAUGUACAAUCUAGUCUUGAGUUUAGAUGUUUGAUCACAGUACCGAUCCAAGGACCAAUGUUCAGACCUUUUCAAAGCAUCACCUUCCACUUACAGGACUUGAAGACUCCUGGCAUGGUGCCGGGAAAUCUGGCUCCGGAUUUUUUUUUUUUUCUCUAAAUCAUGUCAAAAAAAAAAAGAAAAAGAAACCCUAGUUAUUUAGAUCUGAAUAUGAGUGGUAGAGAACAGCAUUACGCUGGAUAGCAUACAUCCUGCCAGAGAAGAAGAAGAAGCCGAAGAAGCGAGCGGGGAAACAGCAAAUUUCAAAUGAUUGAUGCGAGGUACGUCAAUCCAGGAGAAGAAACUGUGAUAUUGGAAGCUGGGCUUUGUUUGGAAGGGGCUGGAAAAGAUGGAAAGUCUCAUGGUAGCUGGUGCCGAAAACUGAAAGAGCCAGGUGCUUGUUUUUGUGUGUCUUGUGCCUGAAAGCUUAUAAAUGGCAGCAGUGGGGAAAAGUUCGGAAAAGUUGGAAAGAUAUUCACAGAUAUACCGAAACGUUGUCUAAACACAAAUGAUGCCUCUUUUAUGUCGUAAUAGAACAGACAACUCGCUACAAGAAUCAAAAACUGAUUUGUUUCACAAAAUCAAGCCGUUCUUCGAGCUGGAUGAAUAAUACUCAUCUCUAUGAGCAGCCGGUAGCUGGGCGAGUGCGCAGGGAUCGUCUGCAAAUUACGAUACAAGAGCAAGACGCUGCAAACAAAAAUCAAUAGCUCCACUGUAACACAGUAGAGACCUCAAAAUCACCGAACACACCAAGGGACUCUUCAUACAACAACUACUGUUUUAGGAAAAUGUGCCUUUUUUUAGUUUUGGUGAAUUUUUCUAGUUAUGAAUCAUUAAUAUCUUCCAAUAUUAACCCCCCCAUAAAAAAAUUUUCAGGCACAGGAUUUUUUUCUGUUUUUAGCCCUGCACUUAAACUCAAGUAAACCUUUUGUAAAAUCCAUACAAGCUUUUGCAGUUAAUGUAUUAGGCGUUGCUCUGCCAAGUGAUCGUCAAAACACAAAAACAGGGAAAACUCAAGAGAUGUGCUGAAAGACCUUACUUUACUUUGGAGGUUCCAUUACACUACACUGAAUGUUCCAGAAAGUGUAUCACUACCGAGGAUUCAGAGUUACAGUAUGUCCUCAUUUCUGCAGCGAUGUUGUUUGUCAAAGUUUACAAUACUGUACAGUUAUAUAACCCUGGAAGCAAUGAGACUAUACUUUUGACCUCAAUGUCCAAGGAUUUUCAGACCCCCUCGUAGAAAAAAGCUUGCAUAUUUAAUCCUUCAAUGUCACUCUCCAUUCAGAGGCGGUUUCAUAACUCCAUUGUUUGUGGCUUUCAGAGAUCUUGAAGAAAUCCAUCACAACCUUCGCUGGAACACAUACAGCCGAGACAAUAAUGCUUCAGUGGGGACUGAGAAUAAAGCCAAGCACAGACAAAGAGAAAGUGAUGGUUUUGCAACACUUAUACCUGUGAAAAUUGCAUAACCGUCGGAUCAUUCACCCUAUCAUUGGAUGUUGGUUUUGUAAUUGGUAUCUUAAGGCUUUUGGGUUUUGACUCUGACCAUAUAAACAGAAAAUGUUAUCAGCUACCUGUAAAAUCAUGUGGACAUUUUCUUUAAACUUUGUUUUAGGAGUCGUAUGGCCAAAAACAUGAUGUAACAGCGAAAAAAUGAAGUUGAAAGAAGAGAUUUGAAAUAAGGAUAAAAUGAUGAUUAGACUUUUGGCCUUUAGAGCUCAAAAUGCUGGGAAUAAAAAAACAGACUAAGGUCUUGUCCACACGUAGCUGGAUAUUUACUAAAACAAAUAUAUUUUUAUAUGUUUUGGCCUGCCAUCCAUAUGAAACCACAGGAUUACGUCAUUAAAGUGGUGCUUUUGGAAAACUCUAGUGUUGCGUUUGCGUGUGGAUAAAGAUAACCAGAGUUUUAAAUUCCCAAACGUCAUUGUCCACAACAACUAAAAGAUAGACGUCAUAUACUAUGCGCCCUUGUUUAUGUCAGGCAGUGGACAGCAAAGAUAUUUUUAUAAUAUACAUUUUUGUGAGGAGCAAAGAAGAAGGAGUGCUUUGCAGUCGGUUCUUCUACACCAAAUAACCCUUCCUCCAUCUUUCUUGUGUCUUGUUGACUCUUUGUCGAUCCUCACGAAUGAACUACAGGGCGCUAUGUUUCAUGUUUGGGGAAGUGAUGACGAGAAAGGGAAGUUUGCUCUGAUUGGAUAGAAUGGAUAUAACAUUAUGGCAAAUACUGCCAACUUCAGGUCUGGCAUGCUCAUAACGGCGGUCAAUAUCAUAUUUAUCCGGUUUUGUGUGGAUGGGAUUUUAUUUAAAAGCGAUAAUGUGUGUACAUGACCUUUUUCUAAAACGGAGGGGGUUGGAUAAGCCCAAACACCCCAGAGGUCAACCCCUGAUAUUUACAUGAGCACUUACACUUGCAUGAUUGCAAAGUUGUCAUUGUAAUCACACCUCUAAUGUUGGCAAUCCUGCUACAAAUGAACAGAUGUACAAACUAACAUAACACAGUUAGGAAUAAUAAGCCGCUUUGAUUAAAAGAACAAAUACACAAGUCAGACACAAACAGGGCAAUAAAAAGCCUUUGAUAGCUCGGGUAUUCGCUGCUUUUCUACCGUCUGCUCCCUGAUGUAAGCUGAGGUUUCUGAUUCUGUUUUCCAUCAAUAAUAUCAGACUAUUUUAUUUUGAUCCGAAUUGAUGUUUUAGAUAUCGUAAAUGAAAGGGAAUGAGUUAUUUAACCAUCCAAAAGCUCCACAGUGAAGUAGAGUAGGACUACAUUAGAGUUUGAUAGACUCCUAACAUUUGCAGUGACUCAGACAUAAAUAGAAGGACACGUCCUUCUGCUGGGGCCGCUCAUCCCUUCAGGGAGGCAGGUAAGAGUAUAGAACAUGACGGCCUAUCACAUGAUGACAGGCAUGAGCAUAAAUCUCCUGAAACCCUUCACUAACUUAUUUUUAUAUCUGCUGCUGACCUAUAAAACCACUGGCUCUCUGAAGGCAUUCACUCUAAACUGGAUGUUACUUGAUGUUUUAUACAGUAUAUUUAAUAUUUUACUCAGUAUCUCACGCUUUGCACUGAUUUUUUCCAAUUCAGCCCACUUUUAUCAAUAUUUGAUAGUUUAAGGUGAAAUCCCAAGACUCCGAAUAUGGUAUUAACGUGUUUUUACAGAAGCCUGAAGGGAAAUCUCUGGAGACUGAAUAGUAUUCAUUACAGUAAAGCUGAGAUCAAGUAUUCUCAUCUAAGGAUACAUGCUGCUAUCAGAACUAGGCAUGCUAGGUAGAAAGUAAGAAUGAGAGUUAUGGGACUUGACAACUUUGUCCACAGGGGGCGCCAAAACCAACACAAAUUGCCAGAUUAUUUCAGACCUGCAUGUUGCUGCAAAUGUGGGUUAACAGCAGAGAAUGGAAGAAAGAUAUUUGCAGCUUUAAAAGGAUUUACGUCGACCCUUCAAACUUUAUUUCAGGACAGG